UACCAGCUCUUCGAGUGGUGUGGAUGUUUAUUGGGCCUAAAGCAUCCGUAGCUGGCUGGGCAAGUCCCCUGUUAAAUCCACCGAUUUAAUCGUUGGAGUGCGGGGGAUACUGUUCGGCUAGGGGACGGGAGAGGCAGACGGUAUUUUCGGGGUAGGGGUGAAAUCCUAUAAUCCCGAGAAGACCACCAGUGGCGAAGGCUGUCUGCUAGAACGCGCCCGACGGUGAGGGAUGAAAGCUGGGGGAGCGAACCGGAUUAGAUACCCGGGUAGUCCCAGCUGUAAACGAUGCAGGCUAGGUGUUUGGACGGCCACGUGCCGUUCUAGUGCCGCAGGGAAGCCGUUAAGCCUGCCGCCUGGGUAGUACGGCCGCAAGGCUGAAAACUUAAAGGAAUUGGCGGGGGAGCACCACAAGGGUGAAGCUGUCGGUUU
This 429-nucleotide ribosomal RNA is filed under the name uncultured archaeon. Its description in RNAcentral is "bacterial SSU rRNA". It matches the Rfam family "Archaeal small subunit ribosomal RNA", at positions 474 to 903 of the family's 1478-position model. The record is from RNAcentral.